Molecule: ribosomal RNA, 425 nt
Filed under: uncultured bacterium
Lineage: Bacteria
Description: bacterial SSU rRNA
Rfam family: Bacterial small subunit ribosomal RNA
Source: RNAcentral
GUGGGGAGUAUUGGACAAUGGGGGAAACCCUGAUCCAGCCAUGCCGCGUGAGUGAUGAAGGCCUUCGGGUUGUAAAGCUCUUUUAGCGGGGAAGAUGAUGACGGUACCCGCAGAAUAAGCCCCGGCUAACUUCGUGCCAGCAGCCGCGGUAAGACGAAGGGGGCUAGCGUUGUUCGGAAUUACUGGGCGUAAAGGGCGCGUAGGUGGCCCAGCAAGUCAGGCGUUAAAGACCCAGGCUCAACCUGGGGAAUGCGCUUGAGACUGCAGGGCUUGAGACCGGAAGAGGAGAGUGGAAUUCCCAGUGUAGAGGUGAAAUUCGUAGAUAUUGGGAAGAACACCAGUGGCGAAGGCGGCUCUCUGGUCCGGUUCUGACACUAAGGCGCGAAAGCGUGGGGAGCAAACAGGAUUAGAAACCCCAGUAGUCC